AGGCGGAGCUUGCUCUGCUGGAUCUUGGCGAACGGGUGAGUAACACGUGAGCAAUCUGCCCCUGACUCUGGGAUAAGCGCUGGAAACGGCGUCUAAUACUGGAUACAAGCUGCGAAGGCAUCUUCAGCAGCUGGAAAGAAUUUCGGUCAGGGAUGAGCUCGCGGCCUAUCAGCUUGUUGGUGAGGUAAUGGCUCACCAAGGCGUCGACGGGUAGCCGGCCUGAGAGGGUGACCGGCCACACUGGGACUGAGACACGGCCCAGACUCCUACGGGAGGCAGCAGU
Molecule: ribosomal RNA, 283 nt
Filed under: Microbacterium sp. AS-5
Lineage: Bacteria; Bacillati; Actinomycetota; Actinomycetes; Micrococcales; Microbacteriaceae
Description: partial 16S ribosomal RNA
Rfam family: Bacterial small subunit ribosomal RNA
Source: RNAcentral